This 594-nucleotide ribosomal RNA is filed under the name uncultured Streptococcus sp. RNAcentral describes it as "bacterial SSU rRNA". It matches the Rfam family "Bacterial small subunit ribosomal RNA", at positions 59 to 628 of the family's 1533-position model. Lineage: Bacteria; Bacillati; Bacillota; Bacilli; Lactobacillales; Streptococcaceae. The record is from RNAcentral.
AAGUAGGACGCACAGUUUAUACCGUAGCUUGCUACACCAUAGACUGUGAGUUGCGAACGGGUGAGUAACGCGUAGGUAACCUGCCUAUUAGAGGGGGAUAACUAUUGGAAACGAUAGCUAAUACCGCAUAACAGUAUGUAACACAUGUUAGAUGCUUGAAAGAUGCAAUUGCAUCGCUAGUAGAUGGACCUGCGUUGUAUUAGCUAGUAGGUAGGGUAAAGGCCUACCUAGGCAACGAUACAUAGCCGACCUGAGAGGGUGAUUGGCCACACUGGGACUGAGACACGGCCCAGACUCCUACGGGAGGCAGCAGUAGGGAAUCUUCGGCAAUGGGGGGAACCCUGACCGAGCAACGCCGCGUGAGUGAAGAAGGUUUUCGGAUCGUAAAGCUCUGUUGUUAAGGAAGAACGAGUGUGAGAAUGGAAAGUUCAUGCUGUGACGGUACUUAACCAGAAAGGGACGGCUAACUACGUGCCAGUAGCCGCGGUAAUACGUAGGUCCCGAGCGUUGUCCGGAUUUAUUGGGCGUAAAGCGAGCGCAGGCGGUUAGAAAAGUCUGAAGUGAAAGGCAGUGGCUCAACCAUUGUAGGCUUUG